GGGACUUUUGGAUUUUCCCAAAGGGGAAAAUUGAAAGAACAACCCCCCCUGAGGGGGAAGGUUUUCGAAUUUAAAAUUUUUUGUUAGGAAAAAAAAGUUCGGGGUAAUGUCGUUACCUGAGGGAACUAACCGAAAGCCCGGGUAAUUCGGGCCGCAGCGCGGUAUAAGUGGGGGGCAGGGUGUCUCGAAUAUUUGGGGUAAAAGCGGGCAGGGGUUUCUUAAAUUGAGAGAAAACCCCCGGUCAACCGGGAGGGUCUUUGAAAAUGGGGACUUUGUGCCGAGAAAAGAGUGGAAUUCCCGGGAGCGGGAAAAGUGUAGAGAGGUGGGGAACACCCGUGGGGAAGGGGACUCUUUGGCCGUAAAAGACACUGAGGGGCGAAAGAGUGGGAGCAAACAGGGUUUGAUACCCUGGGGUGUACGCCGUGAAAGAUGAGUGUUAAGUGUGAGAGGGUGUCUGCCCCUUAGUGUUGCAGCAAAAGCAUUAAGCACUCUGCCUGGGGAGUACAGCCGCAAAGGUGAAAAUCUAAGGAAUUGAGGGGGGCCCGCACAAGCGGGGGAGCGCGUGGGGUAAAUUGAAGCAAAGCGAAGAACACUACCAGGUGUUGACAUCUCUUUGCCUUUCCCAGAGAUAGGGGGUUUUCCUUUGGGGGACAAAAGUGACAGGUGGUGCACGGUGGUGUUCUGAUCGUGUCUUGAGAUGUUGGGUUAAGUCUCGCAAAGAGCGCAACCCCUGAUAUUAGUGGCCAGCACUCAGUUGGGCACUCUAAGGGGAGAGCCGGGGACAAACCGGGGGAAGGGGGGGAGGAGGUGAAAUCUUCAUGCCCCCUAUGACCCGGGGUACACACAUGUUACACAGGGGGGUACAAAGGGGAGCGAAAACGCGAGGUGGAGCCACUCUCAUAAAAACACUCUCAGUUUGGAGUGUAGGGUGCAAAUCUCGUACACGAAGAGGGGAUAGCUAGUAAUCGCGGAUCAGCACGCCGCGGGGAAUACGUUCCCGGGCCCUGUACACACCGCCCGUCACACCACGAGAGUUUUAACACCCGAGGUGGGUGGGGAAAUCGCAAGAGAGCCAGCCGCCUAAGGUGGACAGGAGUGGC
This 1100-nucleotide ribosomal RNA is filed under the name Robertmurraya beringensis. RNAcentral describes it as "Bacillus beringensis partial 16S ribosomal RNA". It matches the Rfam family "Bacterial small subunit ribosomal RNA", at positions 350 to 1475 of the family's 1533-position model. Lineage: Bacteria; Bacillati; Bacillota; Bacilli; Caryophanales; Bacillaceae. The record is from RNAcentral.